Molecule: long non-coding RNA, 1388 nt
Organism: Engraulis encrasicolus (European anchovy)
Lineage: Eukaryota; Metazoa; Chordata; Actinopteri; Clupeiformes; Engraulidae
Exons: 7
Source: RefSeq, a predicted model, not a curated record
GCACAAUGCGAAUUCCACACACAAGCCACAAAGAAGCCAUCUACCGCGGUCAACAACACUUCCUGAUUGAACAGAAUCACGCGCUGUCUGUGUGGUUUCACUGUUACAAGUUUCUUGGCGAUAUGGGGGGAAAGUUCCUCACAUACCAACGGAAAAUGGGCUUCACAUACAUGCUGCUGUCUCAUAAUAUGGCGAAGACGAGUCACCUGAAGGCCUAACUCGCCAUAGAAGACUGAAAGAAUUGUCCUGCAGGAUGCUGUGUCCUGCAAUCCUGUGUGCUGUGCUACAGACGCGUGUGGAGGUCAACCCAAAAUGGGCACAGUCUCACCACAGAAGAGUGAAAGAGGAUCCUGGCAGGGAGACGGUAGUGUCCUGCAGAAUGGUGAUGGGCCAAUCUUACAAGAGACCACAGAAAACUGAUAUAGUGAACUAUAGAAACAGAGUGCCUGCUGCAGUAUGGCGAGGACACCCUGAGCAGAGAGCUCCAAUAGACCCAGGUCCAGUGUCUUGGCAGGGUGAAAUGGCACUGAUAUGGUGUCCUGCAGGAUGCUGUGUCCUGCAAUCCUGUGUGCUGUGCUACAGACGCGUCUGGAAGCCAACCUGAAAUAAGCACAGUCUCUCCACAGAGGAGUGAAAGAGGCUCCCAGAAGUGAGACUGAGUGCCUGUUGCAGUAUGACGAGGACACAGUGACCAGAGACCUUCAGUAGACCCUUCUGGCAUGAUUGGCGGCUGAAGAACAUGACAUCAACAGCAAUGUUUAUAAUGUUGUACAUACCUGUAUAGUCUGUAUUAAAAGGCAGUACCUGUACUAUUUUUUCCUCUUACUUUCAUAUUUACCACGUAUUUACUAUGAAUUGACAACUUUUACUCAAAUCCAUUUUUGUAUGUGCCCUGACUAAAACUAUCCUUAAACCUAACCUGUCAGAGGUGUAACAACAACCUGCUCUUAGCAGUGUGGCAGCAGUCUACUUGGAUGCAGCGGGGAACAUAGAACCCUUUUUUGAAAAAGCAUUGUAUGUUUCUGAGUUUUAUGAAUUGUGCCAUUCCCAAACAUCAUGCAUAGGCUAGGCGUAUCUAUGACACGCUGAUUUGAACCCACUAUCGCGGGUGUCUAAUACGCAUUUUCAAGUUAAGUCGUGCUCCACAACGCCCUGUGACAGGUUCGGUUUAGGGAUGGUUUUGGUUUAGGCACAAUUUAGGCAGAAAUUCGCCUAAUCUCGCUGUUCUUGGCAAAAGUAAAGCAGUAGAAACAUUACUUCACUGACAGGUUAGGUUUAGGGGUGGUUUUGGUUAGGGCACAGCAAAGCAUAUUUGCGUUUAGUAACAAAUGCACUGUGACAAAACAAAAUCGCCGACACGGCGGGGAAAACUGCGCAAACCUCGUCAC